RNAcentral lists this ribosomal RNA (497 nucleotides) under uncultured bacterium. RNAcentral's name for it is "partial 16S ribosomal RNA". It matches the Rfam family "Bacterial small subunit ribosomal RNA", at positions 28 to 507 of the family's 1533-position model. The record is from RNAcentral.
GAUGAACGCUGGCGGCGUGCCUAAUACAUGCAAGUCGAGCGAACAGACGAGGAGCUUGCUCCUCUGACGUUAGCGGCGGACGGGUGAGUAACACGUGGAUAACCUACCUAUAAGACUGGGAUAACUUCGGGAAACCGGAGCUAAUACCGGAUAAUAUAUUGAACCGCAUGGUUCAAUAGUGAAAGACGGUUUUGCUGUCACUUAUAGAUGGAUCCGCGCCGCAUUAGCUAGUUGGUAAGGUAACGGCUUACCAAGGCAACGAUGCGUAGCCGACCUGAGAGGGUGAUCGGCCACACUGGAACUGAGACACGGUCCAGACGCCUACGGGAGGCAGCAGUAGGGAAUCUUCCGCAAUGGGCGAAAGCCUGACGGAGCAACGCCGCGUGAGUGAUGAAGGUCUUCGGAUCGUAAAACUCUGCUAUUAGGGAAGAACAAAUGUGUAAGUAACUAUGCACGUCUUGACGGUACCGAAUCAGAAAGCCACGGCUAACUACGUG